RNAcentral lists this ribosomal RNA (497 nucleotides) under uncultured bacterium. Its description in RNAcentral is "partial 16S ribosomal RNA". It matches the Rfam family "Bacterial small subunit ribosomal RNA", at positions 28 to 507 of the family's 1533-position model. The record is from RNAcentral.
GAUGAACGCUGGCGGCGUGCCUAAUACAUGCAAGUCGAGCGAACGGACGAGAAGCUUGCUUUUCUGAUGUUAGCGGCGGACGGGUGAGUAACACGUGGAUAACCUACCUCUUAGACUGGGAUAACUUCGGGAAACCGGAGCUAAUACCGGAUAAUAUUUUGAACCGCAUGGUUCAAGAGUGAAAGACGGUCUUGCUGUCACUUAUAGCUGGAUCCGCGCUGCAUUAGCUAGUUGGUAAGGUAACGGCUUACCAAGGCAACGAUGCAUAGCCGACCUGAGAGGGUGAUCAGCCACACUGGAACUGAGACACGGUCCAGACUCCUACGGGAGGCAGCAGUAGGGAAUCUUCCGCAAUGGGCGAAAGCCUGACGGAGCAACGCCGCGUGAGUGAUGAAGGUCUUCGGAUCGUAAAACUCUGUUAUUAGGGAAGAACAGAUGUGUAAGUAACUGUGCACAUCUUGACGGUACCUAAUCAGAAAGCCACGGCUAACUACGUG